Molecule: ribosomal RNA, 309 nt
Filed under: uncultured bacterium
Lineage: Bacteria
Description: partial 16S ribosomal RNA
Rfam family: Bacterial small subunit ribosomal RNA
Source: RNAcentral
AGAGACAGCAGCCGCCGCGGUAAUACGUAGGUGGCAAGCGUUGUCCGAAAUUAUUGGGCGUAAAGCGCGCGCAGGCGGAUCGGUCAGUCUGUCUUAAAAGUUCGGGGCUUAACCCCGUGAUGGGAUGGAAACUGCCAAUCUAGAGUAUCGGAGAGGAAAGUGGAAUUCCUAGUGUAGCGGUGAAAUGCGUAGAUAUUAGGAAGAACACCAGUGGCGAAGGCGACUUUCUGGACGAAAACUGACGCUGAGGCGCGAAAGCCAGGGGAGCGAACGGGAUUAGAUACCCCUGUAGUCCCUGUCUCUUAUACC